UCGAGCGCUUCUAGCUUGCUAGAGGAGCGGCGAACGGGUGAGUAACGCGUAGGAAUCUGCCUGAUAGUGGGGGACAACGUCUCGAAAGGGACGCUAAUACCGCAUACGCCCUACGGGGGAAAGGGGGGGAUCUUCGGACCUCUCGCUAUCAGAUGAGCCUGCGUCGGAUUAGCUAGUUGGUGAGGUAAAGGCUCACCAAGGCGACGAUCCGUAGCUGGUCUGAGAGGAUGAUCAGCCACACCGGAACUGAGACACGGUCCGGACUCCUACGGGAGGCAGCAGUGGGGAAUAUUGGACAAUGGGGGCAACCCUGAUCCAGCCAUGCCGCGUGUGUGAAGAAGGCCUUCGGGUUGUAAAGCACUUUAAGGGGGGAGGAAGGUUCGCUGGUGAAUAUCCAGCGGAAUUGACGUUACCCCCAGAAUAAGCACCGGCUAACUUCGUGCCAGCAGCCGCGGUAAUACGAGGGGUGCAAGCGUUAAUCGGAAUUACUGGGCGUAAAGCGCGCGUAGGCGGCUGAAUAAGUCGAUUGUGAAAGCCCCGGGCUCAACCUGGGAAUUGCAGUCGAGACUGUUCGGCUAGAGUGUGGGAGAGGGUGGUGGAAUUCCCGGUGUAGCGGUGAAAUGCGUAGAUAUC
Molecule: ribosomal RNA, 633 nt
Filed under: uncultured soil bacterium
Lineage: Bacteria
Description: bacterial SSU rRNA
Rfam family: Bacterial small subunit ribosomal RNA
Source: RNAcentral